CGGCUGGACGACAAUACCCCUUUAGCAAUUCGCACGCAAAAACUUACGUCUUCAUUUAUCUGGGGAAAGGAGCCGCAAAGCCAUUGAACCGAGUUGUUUUGUUCAUGCAUACUUUAUAUGUGUGAAUAAUGAAACAGUCAGCCGGGUUCCAGCCGGCUCGCUUGCCUUGCCAUAAUACGUGCAGUUAAUAAUGGAUGAAGCCAACCGGUGCCUCCCUCUAAGUCCCAGCAGUCAUGCAAUUUCCUGGAAGAGGCAAAAGAUAAGAGGGAAAAAAAUAUUGGCCUGUGUACAAAAAAUAACAGGGAGAUUCCUACCUGAUCCUCAAAUCUUCUGUAAAUCAUGGACUAACACCAUCAGACAUCAUUAAACCACUUGAUCUCCUCAGUCCCCGAAAUAGUGCACUGUGAUAUAAUGGUGCUGCCUGACCUGCUGAGUGUUUCCAGCAUUUUUUGAAACAAAGUUUAUCUGUUUCCAUGAUACAACAGAGCAACAUAAAUCAUAAAUCAUUGUCUUUAUCGUACAUGAAAGAAACUUGGAACAUUUUUGAUAAAAGAUAGAUGAAAAUCCAAGACACAGCCCUCAUAAAUCAGGAAAUAUAUUUUCAUCAUCUCUAUCUCCCUGACUAAACUUUGUAAUCUAUCAAGAUAAGACUUUUUUAAAUUAGUAUACAGAUAAUUAAGGGUAGAUGAUUAUCUAAAUUUCCAGUGUCACUCCUGAUGCUCUGUGAUGGAAGCACUGAAGAUGAAUAUUUACUUAAGUUGGCAGCAAAGUAAUGCACUGACGAAGCUGUUGAUGUGACUAUUUUAAAAAUGUAAACAUAAUUUCUUAAAUCCUUUAACAGAGCAAUAAAAAAAGCAUGUAAUUUAUUAAAGAAGUGAUCUCUAAAUAACAUUUCACAAAAGGACCCAAACUGCUUUCUGUAAUAGGAUUGUACAUUCAAAAAACAACAUUUGAACAAGCACUUUGAUCAUGCUAGAAGUUUAUGUGACAAUCCUGUCAAUCUGUGAUGACCUCUGGAUAAACUGUAGCCUUUAACUCUUUUCUCAUGUCAUAAGUGAGAAGGCUAGAGAUUAUCUUUCAAGC
Molecule: long non-coding RNA, 1083 nt
Organism: Pristis pectinata (smalltooth sawfish)
Lineage: Eukaryota; Metazoa; Chordata; Chondrichthyes; Rhinopristiformes; Pristidae
Exons: 3
Source: RefSeq, a predicted model, not a curated record